This 1438-nucleotide ribosomal RNA is filed under the name uncultured organism. RNAcentral's name for it is "SSU rRNA". It matches the Rfam family "Bacterial small subunit ribosomal RNA". The record is from RNAcentral.
CUACAGGCUUAACACAUGCGAGUCGAGGGGCAGCAUGGUCUUAGCUUGCUAAGGCCGAUGGCGACCGGCGCACGGGUGAGUAACACGUAUCCAACCUGCCGUCUACUCUUGGACAGCCUUCUGAAAGGAAGAUUAAUACAAGAUGGCAUCAUGAGUCCGCAUGUUCACAUGAUUAAAGGUAUUCCGGUAGACGAUGGGGAUGCGUUCCAUUAGAUAGUAGGCGGGGUAACGGCCCACCUAGUCUUCGAUGGAUAGGGGUUCUGAGAGGAAGGUCCCCCACAUUGGAACUGAGACACGGUCCAAACUCCUACGGGAGGCAGCAGUGAGGAAUAUUGGUCAAUGGGCGAGAGCCUGAACCAGCCAAGUAGCGUGAAGGAUGACUGCCCUAUGGGUUGUAAACUUCUUUUAUAAAGGAAUAAAGUCGGGUAUGCAUACCCGUUUGCAUGUACUUUAUGAAUAAGGAUCGGCUAACUCCGUGCCAGCAGCCGCGGUAAUACGGAGGAUCCGAGCGUUAUCCGGAUUUAUUGGGUUUAAAGGGAGCGUAGAUGGAUGUUUAAGUCAGUUGUGAAAGUUUGCGGCUCAACCGUAAAAUUGCAGUUGAUACUGGAUAUCUUGAGUGCAGUUGAGGCAGGCGGAAUUCGUGGUGUAGCGGUGAAAUGCUUAGAUAUCACGAAGAACUCCGAUUGCGAAGGCAGCCUGCUAAGCUGCAACUGACAUUGAGGCUCGAAAGUGUGGGUAUCAAACAGGAUUAGAUACCCUGGUAGUCCACACGGUAAACGAUGAAUACUCGCUGUUUGCGAUAUACAGCAAGCGGCCAAGCGAAAGCGUUAAGUAUUCCACCUGGGGAGUACGCCGGCAACGGUGAAACUCAAAGGAAUUGACGGGGGCCCGCACAAGCGGAGGAACAUGUGGUUUAAUUCGAUGAUACGCGAGGAACCUUACCCGGGCUUAAAUUGCAGAUGAAUUACGGUGAAAGCCGUAAGCCGCAAGGCAUCUGUGAAGGUGCUGCAUGGUUGUCGUCAGCUCGUGCCGUGAGGUGUCGGCUUAAGUGCCAUAACGAGCGCAACCCUUGUUGUCAGUUACUAACAGGUUCUGCUGAGGACUCUGACAAGACUGCCAUCGUAAGAUGUGAGGAAGGUGGGGAUGACGUCAAAUCAGCACGGCCCUUACGUCCGGGGCUACACACGUGUUACAAUGGGGGGUACAGAGGGCCGCUACCACGCGAGUGGAUGCCAAUCCCAAAAACCUCUCUCAGUUCGGACUGGAGUCUGCAACCCGACUCCACGAAGCUGGAUUCGCUAGUAAUCGCGCAUCAGCCACGGCGCGGUGAAUACGUUCCCGGGCCUUGUACACACCGCCCGUCAAGCCAUGGGAGCCGGGGGUACCUGAAGUGCGUAACCGCGAGGAGCGCCCUAGGGUAAAACUGGUGACUGGGGCU